Triticum aestivum (bread wheat) is the source of this 1347-nucleotide long non-coding RNA. RefSeq lists it as uncharacterized. NCBI's taxonomy places the organism in Eukaryota, Viridiplantae, Streptophyta, Magnoliopsida, Poales, Poaceae. The transcript is spliced from 3 exons. The record is from RefSeq and is a predicted model, not a curated record.
GGUCUCCCCUCGACCGAUCCCCCUCCUCUUCUUCCCUCUCCGCCGCCUAGGUUAGCCCCACGCGCCUCGCUGUCGCCCUGCCCACCAUGACCCGAGCGAGCAAGAGCUCAAGCUCGGGGUAGCCGUCCACGUCACGCCUCCGACCCACCUGUUGCCGUCGAGAGGACCGUCAAGUACCUCUCUGCCCUCUUCUGCACGCACGCACCUCUACAGCCCUGGAUCGACUACCACAACGACAUCUUCUCCCUCUGCUUCGCGGACAGCAGCCCCACCAAGUUCAGCGCUCCCUUGCGUCAUCUCCGGCUCGUCUCCGUCGACCCCAUCGUGUCCUAGGUGCACUCUUGGACUUCCAAGUUGAGGCCAGGUUCUGAUGUGGACAUAGCUAUCAUAGAAACGUCUACAAAUAUUACAUCACAAAUUAUUAACCAGGAAUAAAAGAAUAAAAGAAGCAAGAGACUACUAUGCCUUAAAACCAGAUGGAGCAAUCCAUGCAUGCAUGCGCUCCAUCAUCCUUGCAUGCAUGCCCGCCGAACCAUCCAUUACACCCCAUCCAUCAUCGAUGUCACGUGGAGUGCACAGGAAACAAAGGCCUUUUGAUUUGAAUCCGUUGAUCAGUAUCAGCGACUUGGGCCAUGUAUUGUGGGCUGCGCCAAGUCUCCUCACGUCAGGGCCUGCAGCUUCGGCCUUUGUACUGUCCAACUCGUGCACAACUUCCUUCGAUCAGCAGACCGGCUGGAACACAUCUACGUACUCGUUUGCGUUUGUACCUCUUUAAUAAAUAGCUAGUCUAGGUUAGGGUUUAGACUUGGGUUUUGUUUAGAGAAGUUUAGCUAUUGCUACUUUUAUUUGUCUUCGCUCGUAGAGGCUAGUGCGACCGUCAAGACAUCCUAUCGGAACCCCAUCUUGUGAGAUUAAUCCCAUCUAGCAUAUUCGCAAUUUUGAGAUUGCUUGGCUAUUAUUUUCUUGCAUGUUCUUUGAUUUGCUUGCAGGAAAAAUCCUUCGUGGAUAGGUCGAUCGCGUCGUUGGCUCGGUCAAUAAUGCCGUGGAGUUGGUUCAGCGAUUGCUGUGGAUAUCAGUCAUGUACGGUUCUUCCUGUACGGUUGGUAGCCGGAUCGUGAGGGUCAAGUCCCACCCAAAAUCGUAGUUAUCCUCUCUCAUCGAAAGAUCGGGUCCCAGUGCACAUCAAGUGGUAUCAGUUUUCAGGUUCAUCGGUGAGAGAUUUACAGUUUUCUUAGAUUAGAUUGAUUUUAGUCCUACAACCCACAAAAAGCCAAAAAAAUUAGAUUAGUUCAUCCACUGCACCUACCUUUUUAGCCUCUAGCAAUUUUUGCAUCUAGUAUUUGUGUA